AGUAUCUGUAGUAACAAUGGAGGCCCGCCCACCUCCUCUGUGAUUGGCCGGUGACAAUUACGAACCCAGACAAUCCGGGCCAGAGGUUGGACGGGCUGGAUGCACCAGGUGAAGUAGUGGAGCGACACCCAAUGGUGAAACGGUGCAGCUGCAACGCCCGUGAGCUCAUGAUAAUGAGAUUAUAAUUAUGUAGACACUUUGAUCUCUGGAGCAAGGAACCAGAGGUAGCCUGUGGAUCAGUCCGUCCUUCAGCCUUGAGAUGAUGAAACCAGUGCACUGAGCGGGGCUGAAACUUGGGGCCUUGAUGGAUCACCAGCUUAGAUUAGUUUUCAGGCAAGUGCCACAAAACAUCAGUCUUUAUUUCUUUGGGACAAAACCUGACAUUUGAGUGCACUUGACCUACAGAGAGGUACACUCUUUCAUAAUAUGAGCUCACCCUGACAGACACUGAGUAAUCGCUGGUAUUCACUUGGUAUUGUGGGAGAAAAUAAUGGAGAAGAAUGACUUUAGGAGAUCAGAAUACGGGUAUUUCAUCACUGUGAAAUGUUUUCACCAUGAAGUUGAUUACUGUAAGAAAGCGAAAACUCAUUGCUGUAUUUCUCAGGAUUCUGCUCUUACUGCCACUAUAUCACAGCCCAUUUUUCCUCAGAACAAUCUGCUUCAUUCCUCCAACUCGUCUGCAGAAAAAAAAGUGAUUCUAGUCAGCUGCCACUGAAGGGCAGCAUUGCCAAGCCAUAAAUCAACAUGCCAGUGUCCUGAUGAACUUGAACUUAAAAGACAAAACAGAUUCACAUUGGGUGAAUAAUGACGUUUAAAUAAUAACUUUUUAUAUUCUCUAUGUAUAUCUUUAUGUAGCUUCUCUGUGGUCAAUAAUUAUUAUCCACAUAUUAAGCAUCCUCCUUCUCUCUCUCCCGGGAAGCCAUUUCUUCAUUGUUUGAAUAUAAGAUAGUGAAAUCAUAGAGGGAAAGACAUUCAAAGUAACCCUCACAGGGCCUGUGACUGAGGGCUCAGCCUAAGCAUGUUCGCCACGCUUUUCAUCCAAGCAGCAGGCACAAUGACUUUGAGACACGGAUAAUUUGGGACUGGAAUAGUUAGGCAUAUACAUCUCCUAUGAUUUCAACCGAUUUUAAAAUGUUUUAUAGGUUACUAUAUAUGUGAGGAGUGGCUAUACUUUUUAUUUUAUCUUUUUUUUUUCAGUGUUUGUUUUUGUGGAAAGCGGAGGUCAGAGGGCCUUGAGGUAAAGGCCACUUGAUGAGUCAUCUCUAUAUCUGCUGCCUUGUUUGAGACAACACAACUUUAAAGCCUGAGACAAUUAAAAACAGUUUUGUCGUGAUUGUUUUUUUGGCACCGAAAAGAGGAGGAAUAAUUCUUGUAGCAUCCCUCGGGCAUCAAUGCAGCGUUCAUAAAUGGUGUGCCACUCUAUCCUCUCUGAGCUUAUAACAAGAUUUAGAGGCUUUCCCUGCCAGAUGAUGGAGUUUUGCAGGAGGAAUAGGCACUCUUAUAUUUUACCACGGAGAGCUGAGUGGUGGGCUGAGGCUCAUGACUCCAACAAGCUGUUGGAGGACUGUUUGGUCUCGACCAAAUUUUUCCUUUCUCCUACGAAGUGAUAAAAGAGCACAAAUUCAAAUCCACUUUCAAUUGCCAUCAUAUGGAAUCACAUAUGAGCUAAAGUGAUUCAUAGCUAAUAGAACAAUACCAUUACAUAUUACAGUAAAUUGUUUUAUUCCUCUCAACCCCAUACAUUACCUUCUCAGGAGUCAUUGUUUCUGCACAUUGAAUUGUGGAGGUGUAACCUUGGCUAAUUGAUAUGCUGUGGUGUUUGAUUUCCUACCUAUAAAUCUCCUGUAAAUUGGACCACGUCUCCCAUUUCUCUGAACAAUGAUUCAUUCACUCUCAUUGUGGGCGUCUGUCUUAAGAAUCCUUAUCAAGAUCAGAGAGCUCUCUCUCGCUGCCGUUAUUUUUGUACCGUGCUGCUUUUGUUGCCCUUGCCUCUCUCUCUCUCUCUCUCUCUCUCUCCAUCUAUUUGCUGACUGUUGUGUGCAACUCGUUGGGUAAACUUAAUUGAUUUUUUUUAUUCCACACAGAAUUGUUGCAGUUAAGUGGCCUUUUUAGCAUGCAUUGGAUUGUUUUGUGUGUUUUCUCAAGGCAACAGUGUUCAGGGGAAUCGGUAAACAAUAACAUUUUAGAGUUGCUCAUUUACUGUUUUAGUUUUCUUAUUAUUUUUGGGGCAAUUUGCCUUUAUUGAAUAGGAGCAGUAUGGGCAGGAAACCUAGGGUGAGAGAGAGAGGGGUAUGGCAUGUAACAAAGAAUCUCAGUCAGAAAUUAACCUUGAGAGUUGCUUAUAUCCAUAUUAAACAUGAGGGAAUUUAACAAUUGUUUAAGUAAAAGUAAUAGUCAAAGUCAAACGAUUCAUUAUACAGGUUGUUGUAAUAAUUAUCUACAUCCUAUUUUCUAUCUAUUUUUUCUCUGUCUUCAUCAUUCUGAAACCAUAACACAACAAAUGUUCCUGUAUCAUGCCACCUAAAAAGAGGAAAACAUUGUAUGAUGUUAUUAUUUUUAAGUUACAUUUGACAGGGUUGGAAGAAUGUUUAGCUGACAGAUCUGCUACAUGUAAAUCAAUGCCAUAAUAAUACUUCCCCAGUAGAACUUUUGCUCCAUUGAUUUUCCGGUUGAGUCAGACACAAUGAGGGCAAAUGACACAAAAAUACACAAUCACUACGUAGUCUAAAGAUAACCAAUGUAAGUUUAACGUGAAAUUGCAUAGGUGUAACAGUCAAACUGUACUUGAAGUUUGUGCUCACUUUCAUUAAAGUUCCUGUCCCUAAAA
Dicentrarchus labrax (European seabass) is the source of this 2827-nucleotide long non-coding RNA. RefSeq lists it as uncharacterized. The record is from RefSeq and is a predicted model, not a curated record. The transcript has 2 exons. NCBI's taxonomy places the organism in Eukaryota, Metazoa, Chordata, Actinopteri, Moronidae.